GUUCCAGCAGCCGCGGUAAUACGUAGGGUGCGAGCGUUAAUCGGAAUUACUGGGCGUAAAGUGUGCGCAGGCGGCCGAGCAUGUCGAGUGUGAAAGCCCCGGGCUUAACCUGGGAACUGCGCUCGAAACUACUUGGCUGGAGUGUGGCAGAGGAAGGUGGAAUUCCACGUGUAGCGGUGAAAUGCGUAGAGAUGUGGAGGAACACCGAUGGCGAAGGCAGCCUUCUGGGCCAACACUGACGCUCAUGCACGAAAGCGUGGGGAGCAAACAGGAUUAGAUACCCUUGUAGUCC
Molecule: ribosomal RNA, 292 nt
Filed under: uncultured bacterium
Lineage: Bacteria
Description: partial 16S ribosomal RNA
Rfam family: Bacterial small subunit ribosomal RNA
Source: RNAcentral